RNAcentral lists this ribosomal RNA (376 nucleotides) under uncultured organism. RNAcentral's name for it is "partial 16S ribosomal RNA". It matches the Rfam family "Bacterial small subunit ribosomal RNA", at positions 527 to 896 of the family's 1533-position model. The record is from RNAcentral.
GUAGGUGGCAAGCGUUGUCCGGAAUUAUUGGGCGUAGAGCGCGCGCAGGCGGUCCUUUAAGUCUGAUGUGAAAGCCCACGGCUCAACCGUGGAGGGUCAUUGGAAACUGGGGGACUUGAGUACAGAAGAGGAAAGCGGAAUUCCAAGUGUAGCGGUGAAAUGCGUAGAGAUUUUGGAGGAACACCAGUGGCGAAGGCGGCUUUCUGGUCUGUAACUGACGCUGAGGCGCGAAAGCGUGGGGAGCAAACAGGGAUUAGAUACCCUGGUAGUCCACGCCGUAAACGAUGAGUGCUAAGUGUUAGGGGGGGUUUCCGCCCCCUUAGUGCUGCAGCUAACGCAUUAAGCACUCCGCCUGGGGAGUACGGCCGCAAGGCUG